CCCCUCUUGGAACCGCACCUGGAGAGUUUGCAUUACUCUACCAGUCUCGGCUACAGGAGGGAGAGUCAAGCAGAAGCCUGCCCAUUCCAUUCCUAGCUCGGGCAGCGGCUAGCGAUUGGAAGGCGAUCUGCUACAAGU
Small nucleolar RNA from Ornithorhynchus anatinus (platypus), 138 nucleotides. The record is from RefSeq and is a predicted model, not a curated record. Lineage: Eukaryota; Metazoa; Chordata; Mammalia; Monotremata; Ornithorhynchidae.